Bactrocera dorsalis (oriental fruit fly) is the source of this 1193-nucleotide long non-coding RNA. RefSeq lists it as uncharacterized. The transcript has 3 exons. The record is from RefSeq and is a predicted model, not a curated record. Lineage: Eukaryota; Metazoa; Arthropoda; Insecta; Diptera; Tephritidae.
UAGUGCGGGUGCGAGUAAAAUAUAUUCGGCGAGGGCUGCGAUUUUUAUCUCGGGAGUGUUCGGUUGACGUCGUUAAAGCUUAAAAAAAAAGUGUUCGUUCAUAAAUGUUCGUUCAUAAAUGUUCGUUUUUUGGGUCGCGUUUGUCGAUUAUAUGUAAGUGUGCGUUCGGUAAAAAAUAAAAAUACUCGGAAAAUAGUAUAUCUCGUAAGUGUUCGGUUGUCGUCGUUAAAGCUUAAAUAAAAAGUGCUCGUACGUAAGUGUUCGUUUUUGAGUCGCGUAAAAAAUCGUUAGUGUGCGUUCGGUAAAAAACUAAUACAAUCGGGGCAUGGUAACCAUAUCUCGUAAGUGUUCGGUUAACGCCGUUAGUAUGCGUUUGGUAAAAUUAAAAUUACGUACGUGUCCGGUUGUUGUCGUAACGUGUUCAGUAAAAUAGUGUAAUUUGUGUUCGUAAUGAAUAUUGAAUAAUGACAAGCCACAAAUUAUUUGCAUCGCACAGUAGCGGUCGGCGUUAAUCGCUUUGAUGACAACAAAAGAUACCUCACCAACAAAGAGAACGUUCUAAACGUCAAAGCGCGCAACUAAACACACACAUAUGCAUAUACAAAUAUAUGUAUAUGGUAUACAAAAUACCAAAGUGUGUGUGUGCGAAAGGAGGAGAAUGUCGAAUUGUAAUCGAACAAUGCAAUGUGUGGUGGCAAGACGCUUUGCGAUUUUUAUGAUGAGUUCUUGGGAUUUUUUCCAACACGAAAAAAACAAAAAUUAGUCGCAGCAAUGACGCUUGUGCAUAUUCUAUAUCGUCUCUCUCGUUUUGACCCAAAGCAUCGUUUAUUGUGCGCAAAUUAUGCAAUAGCGAAUUUAUGCUCACGCUUACCGCUGGCUUCAUAAUAAUUAUUUGGUGGAAAAUGAAAUCUAUUCCGUUGAAAUCUUCAAAUAUAUCUAUUUUCAAGCAGUGUGUUCUAAAGUAGAAAGUGCAUUUCGGCAAUAUUUGUGUCGAGUAAGCAGUGUUUCGUAGGUGCGUAUAAUCAAUUAAUGUGUAGUGUUCGGGUUUUCGGUCGAUAAAAAAUAUGAAAUUAUGUUCGGUUUUAGUGCGGUUUCGGUGAAAAAGUGAAAUUUUGUGUAAUAUUGAUACCAGUGAUUUGCGGAAGUAGGCGGAUUCAACAAAUAGCAAACAAAUCCAAAACAGAGGCGAUAUU